Molecule: ribosomal RNA, 253 nt
Filed under: uncultured bacterium
Lineage: Bacteria
Description: partial 16S ribosomal RNA
Rfam family: Bacterial small subunit ribosomal RNA
Source: RNAcentral
UACGUAGGGCGCAAGCGUUAAUCGGAAUUACUGGGCGUAAAGCGUGCGCAGGCGGUUAUAUAAGACAGUUGUGAAAUCCCCGGGCUCAACCUGGGAACUGCAUCUGUGACUGUAUAGCUAGAGUACGGUAGAGGGGGAUGGAAUUCCGCGUGUAGCAGUGAAAUGCGUAGAUAUGCGGAGGAACACCGAUGGCGAAGGCAAUCCCCUGGACCUGUACUGACGCUCAUGCACGAAAGCGUGGGGAGCAAACAGG